AGAGUUUGAUCCUGGCUCAGGAUGAACGCUAGCUACAGGCUUAACACAUGCAAGUCGAGGGGAAACGAUAUUGAAAGCUUGCUUUCUUUAGGCGUCGACCGGCGAAUGGGUGAGUAACGCGUAUCCAACCUGCCCCUGAGUAAGGGAUAGCCCAUCGAAAGAUGGAUUAAUACCUUAUGGUUUCCUUUGAAGGCAUCUGAUUAGGAAUAAAGAUUUAUCGCUGAGGGAUGGGGAUGCGUCUGAUUAGCUUGUUGGCGGGGUAACGGCCCACCAAGGCAACGAUCAGUAGGGGUUCUGAGAGGAAGGUCCCCCACAUUGGUACUGAGACACGGACCAAACUCCUACGGGAGGCAGCAGUGAGGAAUAUUGGUCAAUGGGCGCAAGCCUGAACCAGCCAAGUAGCGUGCAGGAACACUGCCCUAUGGGUUGUAAACUGCUUUUAUACGGGGGAUAAAGUCAGAGUCGUGACUCUGUUUUGCAGGUACCGUAUGAAUUAAGGACCGGCUAAUUCCGUUGCCAGCAGCCGCGGUAAUUACGGAAAGGUCCAGGCGUUAUCCCGGAUUUUAUUGGGUUUAAAGGGAGCGU
Molecule: ribosomal RNA, 585 nt
Filed under: uncultured bacterium
Lineage: Bacteria
Description: bacterial SSU rRNA
Rfam family: Bacterial small subunit ribosomal RNA
Source: RNAcentral